UGGGGAAUAUUGCACAAUGGGCGCAAGCCUGAUGCAGCCAUGCCGCGUGUAUGAAGAAGGCCUUCGGGUUGUAAAGUACUUUCAGCGGGGAGGAAGGUGUUGUGGUUAAUAACCACAGCAAUUGACGUUACCCGCAGAAGAAGCACCGGCUAACUCCGUGCCAGCAGCCGCGGUAAUACGGAGGGUGCAAGCGUUAAUCGGAAUUACUGGGCGUAAAGCGCACGCAGGCGGUCUGUCAAGUCGGAUGUGAAAUCCCCGGGCUCAACCUGGGAACUGCAUCCGAAACUGGCAGGCUUGAGUCUUGUAGAGGGGGGUAGAAUUCCAGGUGUAGCGGUGAAAUGCGUAGAGAUCUGGAGGAAUACCGGUGGCGAAGGCGGCCACCUGGACAAAGACUGACGCUCAGGUGCGAAAGCGUGGGGAGCAAACA
This 427-nucleotide ribosomal RNA is filed under the name uncultured bacterium. RNAcentral's name for it is "partial 16S ribosomal RNA". It matches the Rfam family "Bacterial small subunit ribosomal RNA", at positions 355 to 774 of the family's 1533-position model. The record is from RNAcentral.